UACAGAGGGUGCGAGCGUUAAUCGGAAUUACUGGGCGUAAAGCGUGCGCAGGCGGUUUUGUAAGUCAGAUGUGAAAUCCCCGGGCUUAACCUGGGAACUGCGUUUGAAACUACAAGGCUAGAGUGUGGCAGAGGGGGGUGGAAUUCCACGUGUAGCAGUGAAAUGCGUAGAGAUGUGGAGGAACACCGAUGGCGAAGGCAGCCCCCUGGGUUAACACUGACGCUCAGGCACGAAAGCGUGGGGAGCAAACAGGAUUAGAUACCCCUGUAGUCC
Molecule: ribosomal RNA, 273 nt
Filed under: uncultured bacterium
Lineage: Bacteria
Description: partial 16S ribosomal RNA
Rfam family: Bacterial small subunit ribosomal RNA
Source: RNAcentral